This 395-nucleotide ribosomal RNA is filed under the name uncultured bacterium. Its description in RNAcentral is "partial 16S ribosomal RNA". It matches the Rfam family "Bacterial small subunit ribosomal RNA", at positions 361 to 773 of the family's 1533-position model. The record is from RNAcentral.
AUAUUAGACAAUGGGCGCAAGCGUGAUCCAGCCAUGCCGCGUGAGUGAUGAAGGCCUCAGUGUUGUAAAGCUCUUUCAGUGGGGAAGAUAAUGACGGUACCCACAGAAGAAGCCCCGGCUAACUUCGUUCCAGCAGCCGCGGUAAUACGAAGGGGGCUUGCGUUGUUCGGAUUUACUGGGCGUAAAGCGCACGUAGGCGGAUUUGUCAGUUAGGGGUGAAAACCCGGAGCGCAACUCCGGAACUGCCUUUAAUACUGCCAGUCUAGAGACCGAGAGAGGUGAGUGGAACUCCUAGUGUAGAGGUGGAAUUCGUAGAUAUUAGGAAGAACACCAGUGGCGAAGGCGGCUCACUGGCUCGGUACUGACGCUGAGGUGCGAAAGCGUGGGGAGCAAAC